CCUACGGGGGGCUGCAGUGGGGAAUAUUGGACAAUGGGGGCAACCCUGAUCCAGCCAUGCCGCGUGUGUGAAGAAGGCCCUCGGGUUGUAAAGCACUUUCAGUGAGGAAGAACGCCUGGUGGUUAAUACCCAUCAGGAAAGACAUCACUCACAGAAGAAGCACCGUCUAACUCCGUGCCAGCAGCCGCGGUAAUACGGAGGGUGCGAGCGUUAAUCGGAAUUACUGGGCGUAAAGCGCGCGUAGGUGGCUUGAUAAGCCGGUUGUGAAAGCCCCGGGCUCAACCUGGGAACGGCAUCCGGAACUGUCAAGCUAGAGUGCAGGAGAGGAAGGUAGAAUUCCCGGUGUAGCGGUGAAAUGCGUAGAGAUCGGGAGGAAUACCAGUGGCGAAGGCGGCCUUCUGGACUGACACUGACACUGAGGUGCGAAAGCGUGGGUAGCAAACAGGAUUAGAUACCCCAGUAGUC
This 465-nucleotide ribosomal RNA is filed under the name Vreelandella stevensii. RNAcentral describes it as "partial 16S ribosomal RNA". It matches the Rfam family "Bacterial small subunit ribosomal RNA", at positions 338 to 795 of the family's 1533-position model. Lineage: Bacteria; Pseudomonadati; Pseudomonadota; Gammaproteobacteria; Oceanospirillales; Halomonadaceae. The record is from RNAcentral.